This 433-nucleotide ribosomal RNA is filed under the name uncultured bacterium. RNAcentral describes it as "partial 16S ribosomal RNA". It matches the Rfam family "Bacterial small subunit ribosomal RNA", at positions 29 to 507 of the family's 1533-position model. The record is from RNAcentral.
AACGAACGCUGGCGGCAUGCCUAACACAUGCAAGUCGAACGAGACCUUCGGGCCUAGUGGCGCACGGGUGCGUAACGCGUGGGAAUCUGCCCUUGGGUUCGGAAUAACAGUUGGAAACGACUGCUAAUACCGGUUGAUGACGUAAGUCCAAAGAUUUAUCGCCCAAGGAUGAGCCCGCGUAGGAUUAGCGAGUUGGUGAGGUAAAGGCUCACCAAGGCGACGUUCCUUAGCUGGUCUGAGAGGAUGAUAAGCCACACUGGGACUGAGGCACGGCCGAGGCGGGGACGGGGGGGAGGGGUGGGGAGUAUUGGGGGAGGGGGGAAAACGUGAUCCAGCAAUGCCGCGUGUGUGGUGAAGGCCUUAGGGUUGUAAAGCUGUUUUACCCGGGGUGAUAAUGACAGUAACGGGUGAAUAAGCUCCGGCUAACUCCGUG